UCGAGCGAAGCAGUAAGUUGAUUUCUUCGGAUUGAUUCUUAAUUGACUGAGCGGCGGACGGGUGAGUAACGCGUGGGUGACCUGCCCCAUACCGGGGGAUAACAGCUGGAAACGGCUGCUAAUACCGCAUAAGCGCACAGAGCUGCAUGGCUCGGUGUGAAAAACUCCGGUGGUAUGGGAUGGGCCCGCGUCUGAUUAGGCAGUUGGCGGGGUAACGGCCCACCAAACCGACGAUCAGUAGCCGGCCUGAGAGGGCGACCGGCCACAUUGGGACUGAGACACGGCCCAAACUCCUACGGGAGGCAGCAGUGGGGAAUAUUGCACAAUGGGGGAAACCCUGAUGCAGCGACGCCGCGUGAGCGAAGAAGUAUUUCGGUAUGUAAGGCUCUAUCAGCAGGGAAGAUAAUGACGGUACCUGACUAAGAAGCCCCGGCUAACUACGUGCCAGCAGCCGCGGUAAUACGUAGGGGGCAAGCGUUAUCCGGAUUUACUGGGUGUAAAGGGAGCGUAGACGGCAAGGCAAGUCUGAUGUGAAAACCCAGGGCUUAACCCUGGGACUGCAUUGGAAACUGUCUGGCUCGAGUGCCGGAGAGGUAAGCGGAAUUCCUAGUGUAGCGGUGAAAUGCGUAGAUAUUAGGAAGAACACCAGUGGCGAAGGCGGCUUACUGGACGGUAACUGACGUUGAGGCUCGAAAGCGUGGGGAGCAAAC
This 710-nucleotide ribosomal RNA is filed under the name uncultured Lachnospiraceae bacterium. RNAcentral's name for it is "bacterial SSU rRNA". It matches the Rfam family "Bacterial small subunit ribosomal RNA", at positions 57 to 773 of the family's 1533-position model. Lineage: Bacteria; Bacillati; Bacillota; Clostridia; Lachnospirales; Lachnospiraceae. The record is from RNAcentral.